Molecule: ribosomal RNA, 857 nt
Filed under: uncultured bacterium
Lineage: Bacteria
Description: bacterial SSU rRNA
Rfam family: Bacterial small subunit ribosomal RNA
Source: RNAcentral
AGAGUUUGAUGGUGGCUCAGGAUGAACGCUGGCGGCGUGCUUAACACAUGCAAGUCGAGCGAAGCACUUAAGUUUGAUUCUUCGGAUGAAGACUUUUGUGACUGAGCGGCGGACGGGUGAGUAACGCGUGGGUAACCUGCCUCAUACAGGGGGAUAACAGUUAGAAAUGGCUGCUAAUACCGCAUAAGACCACGGUACUGCAUGGUACAGUGGUAAAAACUCCGGUGGUAUGAGAUGGACCCGCGUCUGAUUAGGUAGUUGGUGAGGUAACGGCCCACCAAGCCGACGAUCAGUAGCCGACCUGAGAGGGUGACCGGCCACAUUGGGACUGAGACACGGCCCAGACUCCUACGGGAGGCAGCAGUGGGGAAUAUUGCACAAUGGGCGAAAGCCUGAUGCAGCGACGCCGCGUGAAGGAUGAAGUAUUUCGGUAUGUAAACUUCUAUCAGCAGGGAAGAAAAUGACGGUACCUGACUAAGAAGCCCCGGCUAACUACGUGCCAGCAGCCGCGGUAAUACGUAGGGGGCAAGCGUUAUCCGGAUUUACUGGGUGUAAAGGGAGCGUAGACGGCUGUGCAAGUCUGAAGUGAAAGGCAUGGGCUCAACCUGUGGACUGCUUUGGAAACUGUGCAGCUAGAGUGUCGGAGAGGUAAGUGGAAUUCCUAGUGUAGCGGUGAAAUGCGUAGAUAUUAGGAGGAACACCAGUGGCGAAGGCGGCUUACUGGACGAUGACUGACGUUGAGGCUCGAAAGCGUGGGGAGCAAAGCAGGAUUAUGAUACCCUGGUAGUCCACGCCGUAAACGAUGACUGCUAGGUGUCGGGUAGCAAAGCUAUUCGGUGCCGCAGCUAACGCAAUAA